Molecule: non-coding RNA, 550 nt
Organism: Odocoileus virginianus texanus
Lineage: Eukaryota; Metazoa; Chordata; Mammalia; Artiodactyla; Cervidae
Source: RefSeq, a predicted model, not a curated record
AAGUGACUGAGAAAGGAGACACAGAAACACAACUUCUGGAAACAGAAGCUAAGCAUCAGUAAACCAGCUUGAAUGCCUGCAGAAGCAGAUACAAUACGUGAUGCUGUUUGUCACACCAGUCACGGAGAAGGACCCCAAGUCCCCAGUCACUAGAUUGGAACCACAUGGCUGUAUCCUAGCACACGGGAAUAUGAACUGACACAAUCAUCACAUCUGAUGAAGGUACACGACAGCCACUAUACCGCAGCCAUCUCUCUUUUCCCUUCCAUGGUGAUUUGGGAAGCUGUGUCAUCAGAGAACAACACCAUCGGAUUAAGGGAGUCUGGAUACCCAGCUGACUGCAAAGAAGAAAGCCAUAACUACUUCACACUUAACUCUUGUUAAAUGUUUCCAGAAGAAGAAGAGUAUCACUAAAUCAAAAACAAGCACCUUCUUUAAGCACCCAUGGAUGCCUUGGUCUCACAGGCUGGUGUCUCAUCUUGCAACAAUGUGGGCCACAAACUGACGGUGGGUUUUCACUUAUCAUUUACUAAGGAGUAAGAUAGUUCUG